RNAcentral lists this ribosomal RNA (253 nucleotides) under uncultured bacterium. RNAcentral describes it as "partial 16S ribosomal RNA". It matches the Rfam family "Bacterial small subunit ribosomal RNA", at positions 524 to 776 of the family's 1533-position model. The record is from RNAcentral.
UACGGAGGGUGCAAGCGUUAAUCGGAAUUACUGGGCGUAAAGCGCACGCAGGUGGCUGAGUCAGUCGAUUGUGAAAGCCCUGGGCUUAACCUGGGAAUUGCAGUCGAUACUACUCAGCUAGAGUAUGGGAGAGGGCAGUGGAAUUCCCGGUGUAGCGGUGGAAUGCGUAGAGAUCCGGAAGAACACCGGUGGCGAAGGCGGCCUGCUGGGCAGUAGCUGACGCUGAUGCGCGACAGCGUGGGGAGCAAACAGG